GAUGAACGCUGGCGGCGUGCCUAAUACAUGCAAGUCGAGCGAACAGACGAGGAGCUUGCUCCUCUGACGUUAGCGGCGGACGGGUGAGUAACACGUGGAUAACCUACCUAUAAGACUGGGAUAACUUCGGGAAACCGGAGCUAAUACCGGAUAAUAUAUUGAACCGCAUGGUUCAAUAGUGAAAGACGGUUUUGCUGUCACUUAUAGAUGGAUCCGCGCCGCAUUAGCUAGUUGGUAAGGUAACGGCUUACCAAGGCAACGAUGCGUAGCCGACCUGAGAGGGUGAGCGGCCACACUGGAACUGAGACACGGUCCAGACUCCUACGGGAGGCAGCAGUAGGGAAUCUUCCGCAAUGGGCGAAAGCUUGACGGAGCAACGCCGCGUGAGUGAUGAAGGUCUUCGGAUCGUAAAACUCUGUUAUUAGGGAAGAACAAAUGUGUAAGUAACUAUGCACGUCUUGACGGUACAUAAUCAGAAAGCCACGGCUAACUACGUG
RNAcentral lists this ribosomal RNA (497 nucleotides) under uncultured bacterium. RNAcentral's name for it is "partial 16S ribosomal RNA". It matches the Rfam family "Bacterial small subunit ribosomal RNA", at positions 28 to 507 of the family's 1533-position model. The record is from RNAcentral.